Molecule: ribosomal RNA, 465 nt
Filed under: Vreelandella stevensii
Lineage: Bacteria; Pseudomonadati; Pseudomonadota; Gammaproteobacteria; Oceanospirillales; Halomonadaceae
Description: partial 16S ribosomal RNA
Rfam family: Bacterial small subunit ribosomal RNA
Source: RNAcentral
CCUACGGGUGGCAGCAGUGGGGAAUAUUGGACAAUGGGCGAAAGCCUGAUCCAGCCAUGCCGCGUGUGUGAAGAAGGCCUUCGGGUUGUAAAGCACUUUCAGUGGGGAAGAAAGCCUUGGGGCUAAUACCCUCGAGGAAGGACAUCACCCACAGAAGAAGCACCGGCUAACUCCGUGCCAGCAGCCGCGGUAAUACGGAGGGUGCGAGCGUUAAUCGGAAUUACUGGGCGUAAAGCGCGCGUAGGCGGUCUGAUAAGCCGGUUGUGAAAGCCCCGGGCUCAACCUGGGAACGGCAUCCGGAACUGUCAGGCUAGAGUGCAGGAGAGGAAGGUAGAAUUCCCGGUGUAGCGGUGAAAUGCGUAGAGAUCGGGAGGAAUACCAGUGGCGAAGGCGGCCGUCUGGACUGACACUGACGCUGAGGUGCGAAAGCGUGGGUAGCAAACAGGAUUAGAUACCUCUGUAGUC